UGCCUUGGGCUACACACGUACUACAAUGGUUGGUACAACGAGUUGCGAGUCGGUGACGGCGAGCUAAUCUCUUAAAAGCCAAUCUCAGUUCGGAUUGUAGGCUGCAACUCGCCUACAUGAAGUCGGAAUCGCUAGUAAUCGCGGAUCAGCACGCCGCGGUGAAUACGUUCCCGGGCCUU
This 179-nucleotide ribosomal RNA is filed under the name uncultured Streptococcus sp. RNAcentral describes it as "partial 16S ribosomal RNA". It matches the Rfam family "Bacterial small subunit ribosomal RNA", at positions 1205 to 1382 of the family's 1533-position model. The record is from RNAcentral. Lineage: Bacteria; Bacillati; Bacillota; Bacilli; Lactobacillales; Streptococcaceae.